Long non-coding RNA from Phragmites australis (common reed), 1107 nucleotides. RefSeq lists it as uncharacterized. The transcript has 3 exons. NCBI's taxonomy places the organism in Eukaryota, Viridiplantae, Streptophyta, Magnoliopsida, Poales, Poaceae. The record is from RefSeq and is a predicted model, not a curated record.
UCUUCACGGCCAACGAAGGCAAGCGCCUCUCCCUGUUCGCUCCUUCUCCUCUCGAAUCCCUAAUUCAUUUGCAUUUUCUGGAAAUUUCUAGAGUCAGGGAAGAGGCCAAGCCGAGCCCGGCCCCGCGCAGUGCCCGCUGCUCGGCGCCGUCGUCCUCUCGCACGCCACGCGACUCCGCCUCGUUGCUUCUCCAUCUUGGAACACUCGCCGACUCCUCCACAGUCCUUAGCUGAUUCUUUCUGUUCUCAAAAGAUGGCGAAGAAGCGUAAAUCUAACCAUCAAGAGAAGCUGGAGGUGCAGCACGAAAAGCUCAUGGAAUCCUACCGUUCUCUCCUGUUCAAUGAUGUCUCUCUGAUGUUACCAGCCAUGAUGGGAAUAUCAAACCUGGAAAAAUUAAGUGAAACAAACCAGGCUCUCUGAUGCUAUUUACCUUCCUCCUCAUGGGAUACAUUGGUACUGCUGCUUUUGUUUUGUCACACUCUUCUGAGCCAAUGACAUGGUCUUCUGUAGUGUUUGCAAUGACACUGGUUAUGACUGUUUUUUGGCUGGGUAAUUUCUAUCUUGCUUUGGUCUCUUCACUCCAUGUAGUCAGCAAUGACACAAUUGGUACUGUUUUUUGUCUAGGGAUUUUUCAUUUUGCAAUUGGACUCCUCGCUCCGGGAGGCCAUCAGGAAGUUUGUAUUCUUGUCGACAUUUUUCUCUUCCUAACCGGUGCUAUCAUCAUAACAUUCCUGUGGAAGAUUCACUUUGUACCCGAACCUCACCCGUAGCACGUUUAAGGUACGGUACAUUCACUUUGCAUCUUGUGAUAACAUAGACUCCCUAGCUUUGAACUACUGGUAGUAUCACUUGUUCUUAUAUAUCAUGCAAAGUCAUUACUUGAUGUGUCCAUAUGCUGUUGUCGCGUGGUAGCAGCUUCGUGUCUGAUAAUAUAGCACCACAUUCUCUUUACCUAGUACUCAUAGGCCAUAGUGCAAUUGCAUGGGUAGAUUUGCCAACCAGUGGCUGUAUUUGUUGUUGAUUUUUCAGAUUUGAUUGAGUAAUCUCUUGCUCACUACGCCAUGAGAAUGAGUACAAUAACCCGACACCACUUAUGAAGAAAAGUUA